Lingula anatina is the source of this 379-nucleotide long non-coding RNA. NCBI's taxonomy places the organism in Eukaryota, Metazoa, Brachiopoda, Lingulata, Lingulida, Lingulidae. The record is from RefSeq and is a predicted model, not a curated record.
UGAAGGCGGCUACGCUCUGAACGGGGAGACGACCCAAAACAUAACGUGCAGUGCUAGUGGUGCCACGUCCGCAGAUUGGGUUGGUUCUUUAACGCCUUGUGUGGCCCUACCUUGUCCGGCAAUAGAACUAACGCCAGAGAACCACCUGGUGAUGGCAAACCUUUCCGGUUCCAUGGGGGACAGAAUCACGUUUGAGUGCGAGACCAAUUACACGUUGCCGGGAUUUGUGAACACGAUGGUCGCCGACUGCAUUUGGGAUGGGCUUUCCACCGCGUGGUCUCAGCCGGUGCCCUCGUGCAUAGCCAUAUGCGCAUCGCCCACAAUUCCAGCGGAGAACCACGUCACCGGAAAUGUUUCGGCCGCCAUUGUUGGAGACCGG